UGGGGAAUAUUGGACAAUGGGCGCAAGCCUGAUCCAGCCAUGCCGCGUGAGUGAUGAAGGCCCUAGGGUUGUAAAGCUCUUUCACCGGUGAAGAUAAUGACGGUAACCGGAGAAGAAGCCCCGGCUAACUUCGUGCCAGCAGCCGCGGUAAUACGAAGGGGGCUAGCGUUGUUCGGAUUUACUGGGCGUAAAGCGCACGUAGGCGGACUAUUAAGUCAGGGGUGAAAUCCCGGGGCUCAACCCCGGAACUGCCUUUGAUACUGGUAGUCUUGAGUUCGAGAGAGGUGAGUGGAAUUCCGAGUGUAGAGGUGAAAUUCGUAGAUAUUCGGAGGAACACCAGUGGCGAAGGCGGCUCACUGGCUCGAUUCUGACGCUGAGGUGCGAAAGCGUGGGGAGCAAACAGG
Molecule: ribosomal RNA, 404 nt
Filed under: Actinomycetes bacterium
Lineage: Bacteria; Bacillati; Actinomycetota; Actinomycetes
Description: Actinobacteria bacterium partial 16S ribosomal RNA
Rfam family: Bacterial small subunit ribosomal RNA
Source: RNAcentral